AAGUCAGCCAGGAGACUAUAAAAUUCAUACUGAUGAGACUGGACGAAAUAGCUAGUAACGUUAUUAGCUAUCUAUGA
This 77-nucleotide non-coding RNA is filed under the name unclassified sequences. The record is from RNAcentral.